This 73-nucleotide transfer RNA is filed under the name Anneissia japonica. RNAcentral's name for it is "tRNA-Val". The record is from RNAcentral. Lineage: Eukaryota; Metazoa; Echinodermata; Crinoidea; Comatulida; Comatulidae.
GAUUCCGUAGUGUAGCGGUUAUCACAUCUGCCUAACACGCAGACGGUCCCCGGUACGAGCCCGGGCGGAAUCA